UAAAAUUAAAGAUUGGCAAUAUCAAACGUUGCCAAGGGAAUUUUCAUGCGUUGCCUGUGAGAGUGUAAAAUGGUACAACUACUUUGAAAAGCAGUUUAGCAGUUUCUGACAAAGUCAAAAACAUACCUAAGCAUAAAACCCAGCAAUCCCACUCCCAGGUGUUUACUCAAGAGAAAUAAAAACACAUGUGUACACAAAAGACUUGUACAUAAACAUUCAAAGCAGCUUUAUUCAUAAUGGCCCAAACCUGGCAUCAACACAAUGUUCACCAAAUGAAUAAACAAAUUAUGGUAUGUUCAUAUAAUAAAAUAUCUUAAUUUUUUUUAAAAAAAUGACACAUCACCACAGGGUUGAAUCACACAGACAUUAUGCUGAGUGAAAGGAGACAAUACAAAGAAAUGCACAGUGCAUGAUUUUAUUGUGUGAAAUUAUAAAACAGGCAAAGUCAGCCAGGUGCUGUGGCUCAUGCCUGUUAAUCCCAGCAUUUUGGGAGGCCGAGGGGCAGAUUACCUGAGGUCAGGAGUUCGAGACCAGCCUGGCCAAUGUGGUGAAACCCCGUCUCUACUAAAAAUAUAAAAAUUAGCCGGGUGUGGUGGCUUGUACCUAUAAUCCCUGCUACUCAGGAGGCUGAGGUAGGAGAAUCACUUGAACCUGGGAGGCAGGGGUUGCAGUGAACUGAGAUCGCACCAUCAUACUCCAGCCUGGGCAACAAGAGCAAGACUCUGUCUAAAAAAAAAAAAAAAAAAAAAAAAAAAAAACAAAAAAAGAAGAAGAAAAGAAAAGGCAGAGUUAAUUUAUGAUAAUAAAAAUCAAAUCAGCAGUUUCCUAAGUAGGGGAAAAAGGUAAUUGACCACAAGUGGCCUAAGGAAGCUUUCUGGGGAGGUCAAAAUUAUUCUGUGUCUUGUUCUGGGUGAUGUUCUACAGUGUCAUAAACUUGAAUAUUUAAAAUAUAUGAAUUUUAUUGCAUGUACAUUAUAUUUCAUUAUUUGAUUUAUAUAUUUGGUUGAUUUUUUUCAAAAACCGACCUUGGUCAAACUUCCAUAAGUAAUCUUUUUCUCUCACUUUAUAAAAAUGUAUGCAAAUACAUGUCUAGAACAGAGAUUAGUCUGCAUGAGGGUAUAGAUUCUACUGAGCUCCCCUCUUGAUGUUCCAAGUACUUGUCUCCCCAGAACGUCAGUUCUGAUAUUCUUAAGAUGGUGAGUAGUGAAAGAGGGUAAUAUUUCUAAAACUACGCUGGGGUUACAGGUGUAAGCCACUGCACCUGGCCCUGCCAAGUCUGAUUCAUAAAGAAAGCUAGGCUCCAUCACAUUUUCUCCACAAACUUAUGUAAACUAUUCUAUCCUCUUUCCUCACAAUUCAUUCACUCUUGUCAGAGCGCUAUUCCCAAGGUGUAGUUUGGGAAAUAUGGGUGUCACGCUGACACUUCCUUCUACAUUGGAGAUAGAGUCAGAGGCAACCUCAGAAGUGAAGGGGCAGCAGCUAAGGAGGUGGGGACAAGCAGCAAGAGGGAAGGUAGGAUUGGAGCAGGAGUGGAGCAGGUGCAAGAGUCCCUCCUUUCAUCGCAGCCUGAUGUCAUUCCUCUGAUCUCUGUCUCUCCAGGGUUCUCUUCUACCUCCACUAUAUGCAAGGGAGUUUUCCUAAUUCCCUGAUAAAAAUUAUUCUGAUUCUCUGGAUAUUUGCUUGGCUCUCUAGUGACGUUUCUGGGAACUCUAGCUAGACUUGCUGCUUUACCUGCAGUCCAGGAGGUAUCCACUCUGUGUGAUCACAACUCAACAGAAUAGGAAAGCAAGUCUAAUAAGUGUGAGAUUUUGAAACAAUCAAGCUACAAUAAUUUUAUGUUACCCCUCUAGAAAAGAAAAUAAUACUCACUGCAUUUUUAGAAUUAAAAAAUAAUGCAAAUGUCUUAGUUUAACAGCUCAGAUCUCAGUUGCCAAGUAACAAAACCCACAAGUUCUCUGUAUUUUCCAUGAGCUUUCAAAGUUUGUUUCUGGCAUACCUCAGGGCAAGGAGGAACUUGUUGCUAAAUAUAUUGCGUGUUCUCCCACAAGAAAUUUGGGGACUUCUCAGAAAAACCUGGGAGGUAGAAGGGGUGAUUGAAAAGUCACCACUAGCUUCUCCUUCUGAGCCGUUAAAUCUUUUACUAAUGAAAGACAAAGACUAAUUGUUCCUCUCCAGGAUGAAAGUUGCUUUGAGAAGCCAGAGGCAUUUCUGAAAAGAUGCAGCAUUACCCUGGUGAGUUCAAGAAAGGGCAUGCUGGAGAACAAGACCAAGAUUCUAUCUUCCUUGUAGUUUUCAAACACUCCUAAACCUGCAAAAUUAUAUUCAGUGCACAGAACUAGAUGACCAACCCUGUCUUGUCUCUCUGUCCCAUACUCUUGGUGAAAAUCAACAUUGGCCUCCUCUAAAUUCUUGUAUACCUUAUUCUCAAUAUAAGCUCUGGGUACUCAUCACAUGCUUCUCUGCCACUGGUGAACGCUGUGCACUUGUGAUACCCCUAACUAGAUCACAAGCUUCCAGAAGGCAGACACUUCUUAUAUUUCUGGUUUAAUCCCCCACUGGCCUAGGAAAAAUGCUCUAUACAUAACUUCUAAAUAAAAAAUUAAUUAAGUAACUAAAUAUACCAUAUAUGCCUAAGCUAAGGGAACAUAAAUAUUAUAUGCCCCAAGUUCCCUGUUUCUUUCCCUAAAUAACGAACACACACACACACACCUAUAGAUACUAACAGGAAAGCCUAUUCUUUAUUUCCAUUAGCUUCCAUUUCUAACUUUAUUUGGCCUACACUGAUUUGUUAUAGUAAAAUAUAUGAGGCCAGAUGCAGUGGCUCACACCUGUAAUCCCAGCAAUGGGCCUGUACUUAGUUUCACAUUGUUUGUCUUCAAUUCUGUGAUUCCGUAGAAUCACAGUGUUCCCAGGCUUUCUCCCUAUUUCUUGUUUUCUGGGCUCCUUUGCAGGUUCCUGCUGUGUCCCAUCCCUUAGCCAUUUGCACUCCUCAGCAUUGUGCCCAUGUUCCUGCCUCAGCAAUCACCCCAAAUCAUACCAUCCAUUACCAUCUACACGAUGGUGACUGCCAAUUUUCUGUCAUUAGACUCGCACUCUCCUCUGAGUGCUAGGCCCACAGAACCAAUUGCCUACUGGACUUCUGCAUAUAGUGUCCCAUAGACACCUCGAACCCUACAUGAUGCAAACCCGAAUCAUCUUCCUCUCCAAAUGUACUCUCAGGCCUGUGUUCCUGAUCUUUGAAAAUGAGAUUAUCAUCAAGCCAAUUACCUAAAGCAGACACUGUCCCCUUGACCUGGCCGACCACCAGUUAUCAAUGGCUGUCGGCUCUACCUCUCCCAUAUAUCCCUUUAUCUCUAUGAUCACCAGCCUAGUUAGGCACCAGUGUCUCUCACCAUAUUACUGCAGUCCUAUUCUAACGGGUCUCUCUACAGAUGUAUGGGCUUAACCCCUUCAGGUCAUGUAAUGCUGAGGUCAGAGUGAUCAUUCUAAAAUAUAAAUUUGAUCAAUUCCUUAACUUGGCUUACAAACUUUUAUGCAACCUCAUUCAGCCCCAACACUAGCCUUCUUUCUAUCCCAGCUAAAUGUCUUUCCUACAUCAAAUGUGCCACACUGUCUCUUAUUUUUGAGUCUUGGCUCAUGUUGCUGCGUUGGCCUAUCACACUCUUUCUGACCCCACCCCAGCUUUGUCUUAACUUAUGCUUAUUCUUCAUUUUAGUCUCUGCCUCUUCCAAGAAGCCCUUUCCAGCCCCCCAGGUACAGGUUAGGUAUUAGGUACCUACUUGGUGUUCCCAGAGCAUGUGUAUUUCUCUCUUUGAUAGCAUUCACCAAAUCAUUUGCUGGAUUAUCCUUGGCUAUUUUUUUGUUCCGACUCUCCCAUUAGCCACUCCCAUGAGGACAUAGAUUCUAUCUGUUUUGUUCAAAGUUUAAUCCCCAGCAGCUGGCCCAAUACCUAGAACAUAGUAUACAUUCAGAAAAUAUUUGCUGAUGAGAGUCUUGAAUAAUACAUCACAUGAAAUCACUUUCCCAAAGUGAGUGGGAUAUUCUAAAGAGAAAAAUAUUUCUUACCUUGUAUUUAAAUCCAGAUGUGGGUUUUCCCCUUUCUCAGCCUUAUUGGUUGUUUUAGUUAUCAAGCAAAGAUGAUUUCUUUACUAAGUGAGGUAGAGGCAGGGAAAGUACAGCAGAGACAGAGACAAACAGUUCCAGUGUCCAGUGAGAGCAGACUUCCCUUUCUCACCAGGUUCACACAGCAUGGGGGCCUAGAAGCCUCUAUGAUGAUUCCUCUGGAACUGCUAUUUUCUUUGAUUUAUGAGUGGUUUGAGAUGGAGCCAAUAAUAAUGUACAUUCCAAACUUCUGGUACACUCUGGAAGGUUGCAGAUAGAUUUUCUAUGCACAUUAAAUACAUAAUAAUGAUGGUCAUUCAGACUUCAUACUUGGCAGAUUGUACAUUGAAGAGGACCUGUUUCUUAUUUGGCUGUUCAAAUCACCUGGAAUGGCCAUUAAAUUCAAAGGGAUUCUGUGUUUGACUCUCUCCAAGUAGAUUCUGAGUAAGAUAAGAAAAAGAGUGGUCUAUUCAGUGGUUAGUAAACUCCUUAAUCUGUGCAUUUCAAAAUUAAAGACCCAUCUGUAAUCCUACCACUUUGAGAGGCCAAGGCAGGGGGAAAUAUCUUGAGGCCAGGAGUUUGAGGCCAGCCUGGGCCACAUAGCAAGAUCCCAUCUCUACAAAAAUAAAUAAAUAAAAAAUUAGACAGUGUGGUGGGCCUGUAGUCCCAGCUACUCAAAAGGCUGAGUCAAGAAGAUCACCUGUGUUCCACGGCUGAACCCUGGAGUUUAAGUUUAUAGUGAGCUAUGAUCGUGACAUUAUACUCCAGCCUGGGUGAUAGAGCUUGUCUCAAAAAAAAAAAAAAGUUAAAGGCCAAAGUACAAAGAAACCCACCAUCUUACUCAGAAUAGAUUAAGGAGAAUGUUUUCAAGGAGGUGAUUAAAACUAAAGGUCUCAGCUAGCAAAGCCCGUAGAAACUGUUAAUUCCUUUCUGAGAAAAGAAACUGCCUAAAUUAAAUAAUCACUCCACCAAAAGGCAUUUAAAGGUCACUUUUAGCAGACUCCUCUUGUCAGGAACAUCAGUGCCAAUUAUUUCUGGUGUGCUAGGGAUACUAGUUACCUUGUAAGAACGAAAAACAAAACAAAACAAAAAAUGAGCAAACAAAACAAUUGUUUUGUCAUAUUUCUGGAGAGAGCGUAUCUUAAAUCCAGCAAACAGACCCUAGAAAAACAGGAAAAAUCAGCCUUUUCAGCACUGAACUUAUGAACCUAACCAUGAAGCACGACUCAGACUGGGCCUUAUUUAGAGUUAUCUGGGUCUUGGGCGUUCUGAUUCCUCCAACAGCUAGGUGCAGAUGUGGUAUGGUCAAACGCAAGAUUCAAGUCAGGAGGCUCAAAUUCAAAUCUAAGCUUUUACACAUAACUCAGGCAUGUUACCAAAUGUCUCAGAAUUUAAGAACCUUCCUAUUCGACAGGAAGAUAGUGAUAUGUACAAUGCCAGGCUAUAGUGGCACUGAAACGAGGUAAUGUAUCUAAUCUUUUAGAUUAAUCUUUUAGAUUAGCUUAUUAAAGGGUCUAUACAGUGUGUGAACAGUAAAUACUAGGUAAGAAAUGAGCUGUGUGCACUUGGCCAACUCACUCCAUUUCUCUGGAUUUCAGUUUCCUCAUCUGUAAAAUGGGAAAUAAUUAAUACCAAUCCCUUACACUAUAUAGAGACACAGGGGCAGAAGUGGUGGCGGUGAAGACACCAGAAGCAAAGGAGGCCAGACCUUCAGCCUCCCCACUGCACACAAACUGUUCACAGGACAAUCAAGGCAGGCCCUUCAUCUGCAUUUUUUUCUUUAGAUGGAUUCUCGCUCUGUCGCCCAGGCUGGAGUGCAGUGGUGCGAUCUUGGCGCCUUCCUCAGCCUCCCAAAGUGCUAGGAUUACAGACGUGAGCCACUGCACCUGGCCACAUCUGCAUUUUUGUGUGUGCUUUAAACGAAAGAAUGUAUGGAAAGAACUUAACAUUAACACAUUAUAUUAUAAAAUAAAAGCAAUUCUUAAUAUACUGUUCCAUAAAUUUUAACUUUUGUAAAACAAAUACAUAUUUCUUAGUUAACUACUGUUUAAGCCCUCGAUUCAUACCUUAAUUAAUUAAUCAAGCCCUAAUUAAUCCUGAAGCUAGGCUCCCUCCAGGGGGUUAGUCCUGGUGUUUUCCUAGGCCUGCUGAGAAGAGAAAUGGACAGUGACCCUGUGAUCAGAUGAAAUUCCAAAGACAGUCUCCACUGGACUCACACUCAAGCUCCCUGCCUCCAUCUCUAGAGAACUGCAAGUAAAUUACUUCCCAGAGCUUUGGGAGCCUCAGCGAACAACAUAUGGAUUAGAGAAAUGGGUUAGUCUGUCUCCUGGCCUCUCUUCUAGGAGAGAAGACAAUCUGCUAUAGAAGUACCAAAUAUGAAGGUUUCACAUCUACUUCGCAUCUUUUUGAGUUGCUUUUAGCAGCAACCUGGAAAGCUCCUUCACUUAUGCCCAAUACUGCAAAAUGUUGGGCUUGUGAAUUUAGAAACACUGUCAACACUUUGCUGCAGGUUGAUAUUAAUUGAUAUUAAAUCACCACGGAAUAUCUGUAGAAAUGCACUAGAUGCCGAAGGCUUUCUGACUGAAGAAAGGUAAGCACAAUGAAAUAAUUAGAUAUGAUUUGCCAUUUCUUUACAAAUGUUGCUACAUACUCAAUUCAGCAGCAUGUGGUUUCUCACUUUCAUUAUUAGCUUGCUUGUAUUCAUUGUGUCUAGCUCUCUGGAAGUGGUUUUUUAAGUCCUUGAAAAUCAAAUAAUGCAGUAUUAAAAAUCAAUUUACUAGGUUAAUCAUAAUGCUUUUCUCAUUAUGGUGUGCACAUGUAAUACCAGCUAUUCGGAUGGCUGAGAUAGGAGGAGCACUUGAGACCAGGAGUGCAAGAUCAGCCGGGGCAACACAGCAAAACCCAGUCUCUAAAAAAAACUAAAAUAAAAAUAAAAUAAAUAACGCUUUUCUCAGCACUACCAAUUCAACUGAAAUGUGGCUCUGUAACAAUACUGAGAGAAUGCAGGACUUUCAAACAUGUUUAGGGAAGAAAGUGGGUACCCUGGAUUUAGACAUGGAGUUACCACUAGAUAUUUGAGGAAUAUAUGUAAAUUCCAAAGUUAUUUAAAAUGCUUCUCUACCCAACAAAGUUGGGAUCAUGGGGAAGAUAUAUGUGCUGCUUACCAAUAUUUCUAGCUUCCCUCUUUUAGGACAAGGGAAUAUUAUACUGUCUACAACCUUCGAAUUAUUAACAGAUGUAGCCAUGUGACUUCUUUUGGCCACCAGAAGGAAGUGUUUCAUUUCUAACAUUCUCCUGACCUGCCUGGCUAGCAGGGAUGCACACACAGCAGAGCCAUCACAUGAGUGAGGGAUGCCCUUGAGAAUCACUCAGCCAUUUAGCAGACUUUGCAUGAGCAAGAGAGAAACUCUGUCACUUUACAACAGAUUUAUUUGCUUCCAUAGCAUGGCCUAGCCUUUCUCAUCAGUACAGAGUCCACCAAGCCCUACCAUAGCAAGCUUCUUUGGGUCCCUAAGCAUGUCCUCAGUAUUGUCCAUUCACUCUUCUCACUACUCAUUCUGUUCUCCUGCCUCCCUUUCAUAAGGACCCUGAUGUAUACAUUGGGCCUACCAGGAUAACAUACCCCAUCUCAAGGUCCUUAACUUAAUUGCAUCUGCAAACAUCCUUCUGCCAUAUAAAAUAACACUCUCAGCUGGUGUCUUUUAAUCAUCUUACCUCACCUUGCUCCUCUACCAUUCCACACGCCUUCUCACCCUUGGCUAACACAGUGUCUUAAACAUACAUCCCUGCUGAAUAAAUGAAUGCUUAGUUCAAAAUGUAUACCAUAUCAGAAUCUCUGCUUUAUCAAAAGCCCAAACAAUAUGGUUAAUAAAGCUACACACACACAAACAUACACACAAAGAAAAAGCUAAUGCACCUCAUAAAACAAAACUAGGUAAGAAAGUUGCUCAAUCCAGGCUAUCAAAAUUAAUGGGAAAAGGAAGUAAACGAUCCUCUCAUACUGACACUCAGUAGUAAGUCCUUAAGAAAUAUUAAAAAAUGCAUCAAGUCUACGAUUCUUUGCAGAAACACAUAUAUUGUAUAUACUUAUACCAGUAGUGAAUACAUAUGCAUGGAAUCAAAUCACCAAUAGCUCAGCAGAACCUAAGCCAUAUGUCUUCUUGCAGAGAGUUGCUUAUUAGCUGUCUUUCAUUCUUUCCAUAUUAGACAAUUCGAGAAAGGUAGAGACAGUUAUUUCAUUCUUCUCAGUUCUAUUUCUGCUUUCUUAGUGUCUUCAUAUUCAUCAAUUCACAAGGGCCCUGAGGUGAGAAAACAGAACAAAAAUCUCUCUUUAAACAUGUGAUCUCUCAAAUCUGCCAAACUUGGUGACUUCAUGAUAAUUGUUUCAACCACUUUCUUCUGCUGACCCAAUACUUAAUACGCCAUAAGAUUGAAGACAUUCUCUUUUAUCUGCUGUUCAAUUUGCUUGCUCUCCAGCCAUUUACCUAUAGUUUUCAUCAUUUUUUCAGAAGUACAACCUUGACAAUUCUGGGAUCUUCCAAUGGUGAGUUUAAACUAACUUGAGCAACUGUCUAUGGGGCUUCUAAUUAUCCCAUGAAUGAAUCCAAUAAUUGAGUUGAAAAUAAAUUUCAACCACAACAAUACAGUUUUAGCUCGAGGCAGGUUCUGAAGUAGAAACUAAAAAUAUGAGACUAAAGUAUUAUUUUAAGGGGCUAUUACAGGGAGAAAAUGGUAAAAUUUUUUUGCCUCUGUCAAGAACUACAUGGGGGUUAGCAGCCACAUAGUGGCCUGAGGCCUCGGAGGGGAUGGCCUCUUUGGCUGUGGCUGUGAACUAGGAUCAGCUGAGCCACAACAGUGAAUCCCACAACAUUCUCUGACACCCCGGACUAACCCCCUGCUCCUACAGACUUUCUGCCCUUGAACUUCACAGCUGCUCUCAUCUCCUUUCCAGGUUUGUCAAUUCUAGGUUUUCAGCUCACUUUAUUCCCUAGCUUAGUUUCUGUUUCUUUAUUCAUAAAAUAAUGUUACAAGAGUGCAGUAGCAUGAUUACAGUUCACCACAGCCUUGAAUUCCUGGGCUCAAGAGAUGCGCCCAUCUUAGUCUCCUGAGUAGCCAGGACUAUAGGAUUGUGCCACCACACCUGGCUAAUAUAUUUUUUUAAUCUUUUCAAUAAAGGUCAGGUUUUGCUAUGUUGCCCAGAAUUGUCUCAAGCUCCUGGGCUCAAGUGAUCCUCCUGCCUCAGCCUCCCAAUGUGCUGGGAUCAUAGGCAUGAGCCCCCACACCCAGCCAAGAGUACUUUUCUAAAGAGAGAAGGUCCAUUUCUUUCAACAGAUCCUCAAAGGGAUCUGCAUUGUGGUCAUUCUUGGUUUUCACCUACCCAGCACGCCUCUCCUGAUAACACAACACAUUCCUUCCCCUUGAAGAAGUACCAUUUGCCAUUCUCAAUUGAUAUGGUUUGGAUAAGGGCCAAUCCCACCACCUGCCUCCAAGAUUAGCCCCCAUCCAAACCAUAUGGAUUGAGACUGGCCAAGCUGGGCCAAACAAAGCAAAAAGGACAUAUACUUCCCAACAAAGCUUCAAAACUUGUAGAAUUUAAGCCAUAAAUGUUUAUAGCCAUCUUUGCCAUCAUGUGAGGAAGGCUGCCUAAAAUAGAAUAAGGAAGAAAGCUAAGUCAAAAAAGAAGAACCACCUGCACCUAGGUGGCAAUUCCCCAUCACAGGGGGAGGGAGCCAGUCUUGGCCACUGGGCACAGAAGAGACUGCUUAGGAAAUCCCUGUGAGCUCUAAAGGAAGUAAGAAAACACAGAAAUGCAAAGCUCCAAUACUCCCCCACGUAUCACAGACUCCUCUAAAUUUCCCACUGGGUGUUUCAAGAGUUGGUCCUGGUGAGGUGGGAGGGGGAGACCAAAGGGAAGAGAAAAAAAAAAACAAAGGCCAUUUGUGGGGAAGCUGAAAGGACAUGGAGGUACAGAGGCAGAAAUGGUGGCAGUGACGACAUAUGGGGCAAAUAUGCCCAGACCCUCAGCCUCCCCACUGCACCCACACUGUCCACAGGACAAUCGGGGCAGGACCUUCAUCUGUGUCCUCCGGUUGAGGGGUUGCCUACAUAAUCUGAAAGAGAAGCGUGAAACUCCAGAAGGGGAAAAAAAUGCCUCUUUUGAAGGGGACUUCCCUUGCCAGUGAGGUUUCAGAUCAUGUUCUGUAACAGCCUACUGGCCUGUGACAGGGCCUCCAGGAAAUGAGACAACUCAGAUGCAGAGUACUAAGGGAAAAAUUUCAGUAGUGGCUUGAGAAAACUAACUGUUGAGUCUGACAAAGCAAAGUUCUAAGAUAGUGCGAAGUAUAACUAGGGCUGCUUUGAAAAGGAAACCCAGAGAGCAAGGACAGGUGUCGCUUAGUUUUAAAAAAUAAUUAGAGCUUCUGUUUAUUGAAAGCCUACCAUGUGUCAGGAGCCUUGCAUGCCUUAUCUCUUACUCUUACAUCAGAUGAUAUGAAAUUGACAUUAUUAUCCCCAUUCUCAUCUGUAAAGUGAGAAAACAUACUCAGAUAAAUUAAGUAAAUUAGCCAACAUCAUCCAGUUCCAGGGCCACGAUUCAAGCCAAGGUCCAUCCGAUACCAAUUACUAUGCUUCUGCCUUGGCCCUUCUGUCAUUAAUUCAUGUGGUUCACUGUGAAAGUCAUGGACUUCUUUAAACCUAGAUUUCCCCUUAUGACAUGGUACAAGUAAGCCUAAAGUUAGAUAAAAUCAUAGCCUAUGAUGAGCUAAUUUAAGCUUCAAUCUGUCUCUGUCACUAGCCAGUUCUGUGGAAAUGGACAACUCAAGUAACUUCUCCAGGUCUCAGUGUUCCCAUCUAAAAAGUGGGGUUGUAGUGGGCCUCUACAGCUCUUGACUUCUAUGAGGCACACCGAGUCCUCACAUGCCAACAUAAAAAAGGAAAUUUCAAAAUUGUCUUUGUUUUUUAACAAAGUAUAUGAGGGGAUUAUUCCAGUUCUCUAUGAAUAAUAUAUAUAUUUAAAGAGCCUAUGUUUAAAAAAUUAAAAUGCUUUAAAACAUUUUCUAGAUGGCCUUACAAAUGGAAAAAAAAAGUAUUCCUAGCCAACCCUCUGUCAGCAGAAAGGCCACACAGAAAAAAGCAAAUCACAAUUCUUUACCCCUCUCAGCAUAAAUCAUUACUCACCGUGGGAAAAUGAUUACUUGCCAGGAAGUAGAACCUAUGAAUCAUUAUACUGUUGUCCUCGACCUCUGAUAGAGCAAGAAUUAGGGGAAAGACUGAAAAGCUGGGGAGUGAACUCUGAUUUGACAAUAGUUCCACUCAUGGCAUCGUAAGGCAAUGAAAACAGAAAGCUGAUCGAGCCGUAGGGCUGUCAAGUCCCGGUGCUGCUGCAGUGCACGUCUGAACCCAGAGCAGAAUGACAUGGGCCCCUGACUUUCUGAGUCACUCCUUGGGUCUGAGUCUUCACAGCCCCAGAGUCAUUUAUCAGCAAAUAGAAACAAUGCCAUCCCUGGGCUUGUCCCGACAGUCAACCUACUUGUUAAUGCCUGUGUAAGAGAUACCCAGCUUGGAAAUAGGAGCAAAAGUCACAAGGAAGGGAUUAAGUUGCCUAACAUCAGCAUUCAUUUCCUAAAAUAAAAACACAUGAAAGAUAGACACCACAAAUAUGUGUUCCCUUGUGGUAUCAGCAAAUAUUGUGCUAUAAUUUCUCUACUGUUGCUAAUAAGCUAUGGC
RNAcentral lists this long non-coding RNA (11826 nucleotides) under Homo sapiens (human). Its description in RNAcentral is "non-protein coding lnc-MARCKS-14:1". Lineage: Eukaryota; Metazoa; Chordata; Mammalia; Primates; Hominidae. The record is from RNAcentral.